AUUGAACGCUGGCGGCAGGCCUAACACAUGCAAGUCGAGCGGCAGCGGAAGGAAGCUUGCUUCCUUGCCGGCGAGCGGCGGACGGGUGAGUAAUGUCUGGGGAUCUGCCCGAUGGAGGGGGAUAACUACUGGAAACGGUAGCUAAUACCGCAUAACGUCGCAAGACCAAAGUGGGGGACCUUCGGGCCUCACACCAUCGGAUGAACCCAGAUGGGAUUAGCUAGUAGGCGGGGUAAAGGCCCACCUAGGCGACGAUCUCUAGCUGGUCUGAGAGGAUGACCAGCCACACUGGAACUGAGACACGGUCCAGACUCCUACGGGAGGCAGCAGUGGGGAAUAUUGCACAAUGGGGGAAACCCUGAUGCAGCCAUGCCGCGUAUUUGAAAA
RNAcentral lists this ribosomal RNA (387 nucleotides) under Brenneria sp. AaM36c. RNAcentral describes it as "bacterial SSU rRNA". It matches the Rfam family "Bacterial small subunit ribosomal RNA", at positions 30 to 411 of the family's 1533-position model. The record is from RNAcentral. Lineage: Bacteria; Pseudomonadati; Pseudomonadota; Gammaproteobacteria; Enterobacterales; Pectobacteriaceae.